This 336-nucleotide long non-coding RNA is filed under the name Elaeis guineensis (African oil palm). RNAcentral describes it as "long non-coding RNA (EGUI_LNC026270)". Lineage: Eukaryota; Viridiplantae; Streptophyta; Magnoliopsida; Arecales; Arecaceae. The record is from RNAcentral.
AGGGCAUGAUUAGUUGUAGGAACAAUCGAAUCGAAAUUAGAUAAGUAUUUAUAUCUUCCCUUGUAGCUAAUUAAGUGAGCUAGUGCUUUGAGAGUUUGGAUUAACAGAGGUGUUGAACAUGGUCAAUGGCUAGAAAAUGUUUGCCACAUCAAUGAACAUUUUCAAAAUAAAUUUUCCACACAAUUGAGAGGCUAAAUUAUCUACAAGACAGGUUUUUGGAGGCGAUAGACAUGCAUUGUCUAAGGAAGACUAAUGUCAAAAUCUAGCAAGCUGUUAGAGUAAAAGAUAAACAUGUUUGCCAAACAAUUUUUACUUUAAAAAACAUCGAUGGUAAAU